GAUGAACGCUGGCGGCAUGCUUUACACAUGCAAGUCGGACGGGAAGGGGUGGUUCCAGUGGCGUGCGGGUGAGUAACGCGUGAGAACCUGCCGUUGGGAGGGUGACAACGGCUGUAAACGACUGCUAAUACCCCGUAGGCUAAGGAGCGAAGGGGGGCAUCCGCCGUAGGGGGGGCUGGCGUCUGAUUGGCUAGUUGGUUGGGUAAUAGCUUACCAAGGCCGUGAUCAGUAUCUGGGCCGAGAGGAGGAUCAGCCACACGGCGACUGAGAGGAGGCGCAGACUACGACGGGAGGCAGUAGUGGAGAAUUCUCAACAAGGGGAGACCGCAUGCAGGAGCACUGCGGCGUGGAGGUAAAAGGCCUACGGGUCAUGAGCUUCUUCCCCUGGCGAAGAAAGAGUGACGGUAUUGGGUGAAUAAGCACCGGCUAACUACGUG
RNAcentral lists this ribosomal RNA (437 nucleotides) under uncultured bacterium. RNAcentral's name for it is "partial 16S ribosomal RNA". It matches the Rfam family "Bacterial small subunit ribosomal RNA", at positions 28 to 507 of the family's 1533-position model. The record is from RNAcentral.